CCUACGGGGGGCAGCAGUGGGGAAUAUUGGGCAAUGGGCGCAAGCCUGACCCAGCAACGCCGCGUGAAGGAAGAAGGCUUUCGGGUUGUAAACUUCUUUUAUCAGGGACGAAGCAAGUGACGGUACCUGAUGACUAAGCCACGGCUAACUACGGGCCAGCAGCCGCGGUAAUACGUAGGUGGCAAGCGUUAUCCGGAUUUACUGGGUGUAAGGGGCGUGUAGGCGGGAGUGCAAGUCAGAUGUGAAAACUAUGGGCUCAACCCAUGGCCUGCAUUUGAAACUGUACUUCUUGAGUGCUGGGGAGGCAAUCGGAAUGCCGGGUGUAGCGGUGAAAUGCGUAGAGAUACGGAGGAACACCAGUGGCGAAGGCGGAUUGCUGGACAAUAACUGACGCUGAGGCGCGAAAGCGUGGGGAGCAAACAGGAUUAGAUACCCCAGUAGUC
RNAcentral lists this ribosomal RNA (443 nucleotides) under uncultured bacterium. RNAcentral describes it as "partial 16S ribosomal RNA". It matches the Rfam family "Bacterial small subunit ribosomal RNA", at positions 338 to 795 of the family's 1533-position model. The record is from RNAcentral.